GGAGAGGUGGCCGAGCGGUCGAAGGCGCACGCUUGGAAAGCGUGUGUGCGCUUCGCGCGUACCGGGGGUUCGAAUCCCCCUCUCUCCG
Molecule: transfer RNA, 88 nt
Filed under: Fodinibius salinus
Lineage: Bacteria; Pseudomonadati; Balneolota; Balneolia; Balneolales; Balneolaceae
Also listed under: 1 other name
Description: Bacteroidetes bacterium YIM D17 tRNA
Rfam family: tRNA
About the family: Transfer RNA (tRNA) molecules are approximately 80 nucleotides in length. Their secondary structure includes four short double-helical elements and three loops (D, anti-codon, and T loops).
Source: Rfam by way of RNAcentral